UUAUCAGAGAGUUUGAUCCUGGCUCAGGAUGAACGCUGGCGGCGUGCUUAACACAUGCAAGUCGAACGAAGCAUAUAGAGACGAGUAUUUCGGUAUGAGUAACUAUAUGACUGAGUGGCGGACGGGUGAGUAACGCG
Molecule: ribosomal RNA, 137 nt
Organism: Lactonifactor longoviformis DSM 17459
Lineage: Bacteria; Bacillati; Bacillota; Clostridia; Eubacteriales; Clostridiaceae
Rfam family: Bacterial small subunit ribosomal RNA
Source: Rfam